AGUGAACGCUGGCGGUAGGCCUAACACAUGCAAGUCGAACGGCAGCACAGUAAGAGCUUGCUCUUACGGGUGGCGAGUGGCGGACGGGUGAGGAAUACAUCGGAAUCUACUUUUUCGUGGGGGAUAACGUAGGGAAACUUACGCUAAUACCGCAUACGACCUACGGGUGAAAGCAGGGAUCUUCGGACCUUGCGCGAUUGAAUGAGCCGAUGUCGGAUUAGCUAGUUGGCGGGGUAAAGGCCCACCAAGGCGACGAUCCGUAGCUGGUCUGAGAGGAUGAUCAGCCACACUGGAUCUGAGACACGGUCCAGACUCCUACGGGAGGCAGCAGUGGGGAAUAUUGGACAAUGGGCGCAAGCCUGAUCCAGCCAUACCGCGUGGGUGAAGAAGGCCUUCGGGUUGUAAAGCCCUUUUGUUGGGAAAGAAAAGCAGCAGGUUAAUACCCCGCUGUUCUGACGGUACCCAAAGAAUAAGCACCGGCUAACUUCGUG
This 491-nucleotide ribosomal RNA is filed under the name uncultured bacterium. RNAcentral describes it as "partial 16S ribosomal RNA". It matches the Rfam family "Bacterial small subunit ribosomal RNA", at positions 29 to 507 of the family's 1533-position model. The record is from RNAcentral.